Molecule: ribosomal RNA, 504 nt
Filed under: uncultured bacterium
Lineage: Bacteria
Description: partial 16S ribosomal RNA
Rfam family: Bacterial small subunit ribosomal RNA
Source: RNAcentral
GAUGAACGCUAGCGACAGGCCUAACACAUGCAAGUCGAGGGGCAGCACAUGAGUAGCAAUACGAUGGUGGCGACCGGCGCACGGGUGAGUAUCGCGUAUGCAACCUACCUUCCACAGGGGGAUAGCCUUCCGAAAAGGAGAUUAAUACCGCAUAAAACAGGGGCCCCGCAUGGGGAUAUUUGUGAAAGAUGUAUCGGUGGGAGAGGGGCAUGCGUUCCAUUAGCUAGUUGGCGGGGUAAUGGCCCACCAAGGCAUCGAUGGAUAGGGGAACUGAGAGGUUUAUCCCCCACACUGGAACUGAGACACGGUCCAGACUCCUACGGGAGGCAGCAGUGAGGAAUAUUGGUCAAUGGGCGGGAGCCUGAACCAGCCAAGUCGCGUGAAGGAAGACGGUUCUAUGGAUUGUAAACUUCUUUUGCACUGGGGUAAAACGGGGGACGUGUCCCCCCUUGCAAGUACAGUGCGAAUAAGCAUCGGCUAACUCCGUGCCAGCCGCCGCGGUAA